UCGCGGCUUAUCACCGGCAGUCUCCUUAGAGUGCUCAACUAAAUGGUAGCAACUAAGGACGGGGGUUGCGCUCGUUGCGGGACUUAACCCAACAUCUCACGACACGAGCUGACGACAACCAUGCACCACCUGUCAUCCUGUCCCCCGAAGGGGAAGGCCCUAUCUCUAGGGUGUUCAGGAGAUGUCAAGACCUGGUAAGGUUCUUCGCGUUGCUUCGAAUUAAACCACAUGCUCCACCGCUUGUGCGGGCCCCCGUCAAUUCCUUUGAGUUUCAGUCUUGCGACCGUACUCCCCAGGCGGAGUGCUUAAUGCGUUAGCUGCAGCACUGAGGGGUGGAAGCCCCCCAACACUUAGCACUCAUCGUUUACGGCGUGGACUAC
This 380-nucleotide unclassified non-coding RNA is filed under the name Bacillus sp. (in: firmicutes). Its description in RNAcentral is "Bacillus sp. (in: Bacteria) contains 16S-23S intergenic spacer region". Lineage: Bacteria; Bacillati; Bacillota; Bacilli; Caryophanales; Bacillaceae. The record is from RNAcentral.